RNAcentral lists this long non-coding RNA (1501 nucleotides) under Solanum tuberosum (potato). Its description in RNAcentral is "long non-coding RNA (STUB_LNC008567)". The record is from RNAcentral. Lineage: Eukaryota; Viridiplantae; Streptophyta; Magnoliopsida; Solanales; Solanaceae.
CAAAGAGGUGGACAACCUCUCCUGCAGUAGUAGCUCACCCUCAAAUUGUUCUCCAACUUCCCAAAGUUCAUCAGACUUGUAUCUAACUGUGGACUAAGAAGCAAAUGCCUGGAAGUGGAGAAAGAAAAAAGAUGCUGCUUAAAGUUCUAUUGCAAUAGUAUCAUAUUUGUUAAUUUUUAUUUUAUGUAAGAUACAACUGAAAUUUAUUUGUUUCACAUCAAGACUCUAGCUUGUUCUCUAAAUAAUAACUCCAUCACAAUUUUCCCUAUGAAAAUAACAUAGAAAUGUUCCAACUCAAUCCAGUGUCAAAAUCUGCAGUGAUGAUCAUGACCUACAAUAGUUCAGUUAAUUUUUUUGAAACUGAAUAGUUCAGUUAUUUCAUUGCCAAAUUCUGUUUAUUUGUGUAAGCCUGUAAGGUAAUAAUUAUUUAUGCAAGCAAUACUCCUGUAUACACGGUACACAAUGUGAGCAUCUAGAGAGUUUAGCCUCCUGAUACAUGACUUUACAAAAAGGCAUGCAGUCAUCUAUGUAAUUGGCACAUCAUACUUGCUCAAAAAUAUCACAAAAAAAAAAACUUGAAAAUUAUCCUAAUGAUACAAAAAUAUUUUCCAACCCUUCAAGCAAUUUUCUGUAUCCUAAUGAAUACAAAAGACUAUGACUUCCACUAAGCAGUAAGAAUUUAAAUCAAUUAUGAGUUUAUAACUAUUCCCAGUGAGGCAAGAGUUUUAUGAUGAAGAUAAAGUGUUGUGCUAAACAAUAAUUUAGUUUAGGUUAAAUAAUAUCCUCCUACCUGAAAUAACUACCAACCAAUUUCCCAGUCAAGUGCGAAGUUGGAAAAUUCCACACCAUACCCUGGAAAUUACUGAAGAUGCCAAAAAACAUCCCUUUUCCUCAAAGCUGAAGAGCCACAUCACAGUGCGAGCACCAAAAGACUAAGAAACAACAGACUCAACAGCGCGUAACUGGGCACCGCCCUCUCCUAAUAUAACUUUUAUUUUAUGGUCUACCCCUCCAUCCUACAAACAAAAUCAAGUGGGUGUGUGUGGUAAACAAAAGAAAACAGAAGCAGAGAAGAAAAAUAGAGAUAGUACCAAAUAUAGAGGAGCACUCAGCGGCUAUCAACGUGCAUAAUUAAAUAUUUAUCAAGUUUCAGGAACCAAGAGGUCCCAUCAGUUAGAUCAUCGAAGAACAUAAGCAUCUGGAAUAACACAGAAGCACACUUUACACACUUUUAAAGAAGAGAUUGCACGUAAUUGAGAACUUACAUAAGAACAGCAGUUUAAAGAAAGCUUCGAGACACGAAAAGAAAAUAUUCAACACCUAUUAGAAUACAGAAGAUGGAGGAGCAUGCUCUGCAUCUUUCCCAACACAGAGACGGUUAGCAAAACAAUUAUUCCAUUAGGACCACUUGCACCCUUGAGUCAAAUCUAAAAUACCCAACCAUAUCCUUGAGACCACUCCAAGGAAGAAUCCACCAAACCAAGCAAGAACCCGAAGAAGU